This 252-nucleotide ribosomal RNA is filed under the name uncultured bacterium. RNAcentral's name for it is "partial 16S ribosomal RNA". It matches the Rfam family "Bacterial small subunit ribosomal RNA", at positions 526 to 779 of the family's 1533-position model. The record is from RNAcentral.
CGUAGGUGGCGAGCGUUGUCCGGAAUUACUGGGCGUAAAGGGCGUGUAGGCGGCCUUUAAGUCAGAUGUGAAAUCUCAGGGCUUAACCCUGAACUGCAUUUGAAACUGGAGGGCUUGAGGAUCGGAGAGGGCAGUGGAAUUCCCAGUGUAGCGGUGAAAUGCGUAGAUAUUGGGAGGAACACCAGUGGCGAAGGCGACUGCCUGGACGACACCUGACGCUGAGGCGCGAAAGCUAGGGGAGCGAACGGGAUU